UUUGCCCCGUCAAUGUGCUGGAUGCAGUUGUAAGAACAAGUGAGGUGGAUUGAAUUGCAGGUGUGAAUAAGAUAAACUGUACAUAUUGGAGCAUGGCAUGUGUAUUUGUAAGACAAAUUAUCCUAUUGGUUAAGCUGUGAAUAAACAAAGGUUCCAAUUUCAAUUUUGAAGAGGUUAUAAAAUUAUUGAAAGAGAUAAAUAUUUGUUUAUGGAUUCUACAUGCGUAAUGUUGUUACAAGGCUAAGAUAAGGGACGAGGCAGUGGCAUUACUAGCUCAGGCAAAAAGACAGAUACCCAUGUCAGUAGCAGCACCAAAUGCAGUUAAUAAUGCUGUCUUAAGCAAUGGGAAAAGAGGUACUUGACUUUUUUGCAAGUGGAGUAAUUCUAUUUACUGUGUUUGCUGAUUUAUGUAACUCUAUUUUGUUUGCGGCUGCUGGGCAUGAUGAGAUGGGUCAUGAUGGGGGAAAAAUACAUCCUAGAAUAUCAAAUAAUAUCAUUUCCGAGCUUUCAGGCUGUAAUGCUGCUCUUUCACAUCCAAGGAAAAAGCGAAAGGUCAUACUUUUAGUGAUAUAGAGUUUUUGCUCUGUUAAAUGGUUUUAGCAUGUCUUAUAGUUUAGCUAUUGAAAAUUCUUUCCUGCAAAUCUCACAAGCUUCAUAUAUUUGUAUAAUUUCAGAUACCCCCAACAUUGGCAUUUGUUGAUGCUGUGGAGAAAUAACUCAACUUAAUGGUUAUCCUCCUCAUCGGACAAAACAAAGUUGCCAUAUUAUCUUUUGACAUCCAAUAAUCCAAGGUAUGGGAUUAUAAUGUUUAUUGGUUCAUCAAUCCAUCCUUUUUCAUUCAAUAGAUUGCCUUCCACAUGGCAUGACCCUGCAUAUUACCUCUAUUUUAAAAUUUUUUUUUUCGGAUCUCCCCAUUUAUCUAAUUAAAAUCAAGGUAUAGAUCUGGUAAUGUUGAAUUAUUGAGUUCAAGUAUAGGCUUUGGAGGCAUUGAAUCAGUGUGCUGCUGUAAAGCAAAGCAGUGACAUAGUAGUGUAAUGCUCUGUUUAAAUGGAUUUUUAUAUGGUAUUGUGGGUCGUAUUGUAGAUACUUAUACAACUUUUUGACUAUUUCCUAGCUUCUUGAAAAAGUGUGCGCCAAUACCUAAAUUCAAUUGUUUCAAGACUAUUAUAGGAUUUAUCUAAUUUAUUUAUUUAUUUAUUUAUUUUGACAAAAUACUUCCGAGAAAAAAAGUGCGGCCUGAUGAAGGUUCACUGAAUGCUCAAAUUUGGGCGUGGUACCCGGAUCAAUCAUUAUGCAUUAAUGGAUUUACUCCUUGUGUUGUUAUAAUUGUAUGGUUAAUUCUUGUUUUCAUUUACUCUUAAUUGAUUAUAGUCAAACGAUAUUAUUUGUGCAGGUCUAACAAGGAGUGGAAGAAACUAUUCUAUUUUAACAGAAAUCUUAGUUCAACUUAUAAACAUGGAAGACCUGAAGCAACUGAAGUUAAUUAAACACUCUGAUAUUGUAAUAUUUGCUGCAAAAUUAUCUAAUAUGAUGUCGGUUGUAGCAUGCAUUCUUGGCUGGAAUAUCCAGUUUAUCAAAUGGUCUCAAUACUUCAUUUGAAUUAUAUAAAAAUUGGAUUCACUAGGUGAUGAUGAUAUUCACGUAUAGCAUGGGCAUAAGGGACAAAGUUGCUUGUUUUCAAACAUUUCAAGAUAAAAUACUUUAAAAUCAUAAAAAAAAAUAGUUAUUUUAAAAGUAACUGUUACUGUACUCUCAAAAUUAACAUACUCAUUUGUAAUUUUGAUGUAUAAAGAAAAAUCUUAUUUUGAAACUUAUUUACUUAUAAGUGAACUUUUUUAGCUUAACCAAAUGUUUUCUUUCUAGAAAAAUGUAUAUAUCCAUAAGCUCAGCACAAGCCAUAUGAAUUCAGGAAGAGCAAAGUAAAAAAAAGAAUUGAGGAAAUUAUUAGACAAUCAUUUACAGGUAACAUUCCAACCCCAUAUUUGCUUAGAUGGAAUGUGAACCUUAUGAUUUAUACUUGAUAUGUAAUUUAGCUUUAAAUUGUAUUUUAAAAUGUUUUAAAAAAAUCAAAAUUUCACACUAAUGUUACUUCCUUGCAGAAGGAAAUGCAAUUGUUGAGAACACAAAUCAAAUUAUCAAUGAUAAUACCCUUACAUAAGUUCAAGGAAUACGUAGACAUUGAAUACAUAUAUAAUAGGAGCAUCUACUAACUUUAAAGUAAUACUAUUAUUUUGUGUUCAUCUGAACUAUUAUUUAUCUUUGUACCUUUCUGCUGUUUACUAAGCUUUUAGAAUUUUAAUUUCUUAUUAAGACAAACUGAUAAAUACAAAUCUGAAAUGUAACCAACAAAUAUUUUCGUGAAGGUACAAUGAUGGUAAUCCUAUAUCUGGAGAUGAUCGACCAUACAUGGUGGAUACGGUGUUUACAUACCAUCUUGAAAAAGCUACAAAGAUAGGAGUUGGAUUAGGGCGAGGAAUUCAAAAAUUCCUUUGAGUUGUAAGGCCACACCAAAAGCUUCA
This 2519-nucleotide long non-coding RNA is filed under the name Olea europaea (common olive). RNAcentral's name for it is "long non-coding RNA (OEUR_LNC006577)". Lineage: Eukaryota; Viridiplantae; Streptophyta; Magnoliopsida; Lamiales; Oleaceae. The record is from RNAcentral.